This 274-nucleotide ribosomal RNA is filed under the name uncultured bacterium. RNAcentral's name for it is "partial 16S ribosomal RNA". It matches the Rfam family "Bacterial small subunit ribosomal RNA", at positions 523 to 796 of the family's 1533-position model. The record is from RNAcentral.
CUACGGAGGGUGCAAGCGUUACUCGGAAUCACUGGGCGUAAAGGAUGCGUAGGCGGAUAAUCAAGUCAAAAGUGAAAUCCUACAGCUUAACUGUAGAACUGCUUUCGAAACUGGUUAUCUAGAAUAUGGAAGAGGCAGAUGGAAUUAGUGGUGUAGGGGUAAAAUCCGUAGAGAUCACUAGGAAUACCGAUUGCGAAGGCGAUCUGCUGGGACAUUAUUGACGCUGAGGCAUGAAAGCGUGGGGAGCAAACAGGAUUAGAAACCCCAGUAGUCC